This is a long non-coding RNA of Triticum aestivum (bread wheat), 214 nucleotides long. RefSeq lists it as uncharacterized. The record is from RefSeq and is a predicted model, not a curated record. The transcript has 2 exons. Lineage: Eukaryota; Viridiplantae; Streptophyta; Magnoliopsida; Poales; Poaceae.
AUCAUCUACGCUGUCUGGGUCAUCGCUAAGUAGGUGUCGGAGGGGCUCCUCACCUCUGGCUGCCUCUAGGUGACCCAAGGUUGCUGAAGAGGAGCAGCAGCCGCACAAGAGUAUCUGAAGAUGACUCCUCCGUUUCUAACCCAUCCCCUUCCUUCCACUGUUUUGGAUGAUGAACUUGAUCCUGCUUAAUUAAUUAAUUUCUCAUCGUGCUUAA